RNAcentral lists this ribosomal RNA (897 nucleotides) under uncultured bacterium. Its description in RNAcentral is "bacterial SSU rRNA". It matches the Rfam family "Bacterial small subunit ribosomal RNA", at positions 33 to 914 of the family's 1533-position model. The record is from RNAcentral.
ACGCUGGCGGCGUGCCUAAUACAUGCAAGUAGAACGCUGAAGGAGGAGCUUGCUUCUCUGGAUGAGUUGCGAACGGGUGAGUAACGCGUAGGUAACCUGCCUGGUAGCGGGGAUAACUAUUGGAAACGAUAGCUAAUACCGCAUAACAGUAGAUGUUGCAUGACAUUUGCUUAAAAGGUGCAAUUGCAUCACUACCAGAUGGACCUGCGUUGUAUUAGCUAGUUGGUGGGGUAACGGCUCACCAAGGCGACGAUACAUAGCCGACCUGAGAGGGUGAUCGGCCACACUGGGACUGAGACACGGCCCAGACUCCUACGGGAGGCAGCAGUAGGGAAUCUUCGGCAAUGGACGGAAGUCUGACCGAGCAACGCCGCGUGAGUGAAGAAGGUUUUCGGAUCGUAAAGCUCUGUUGUAAGAGAAGAACAGGUGUGAGAGUGGAAAGUUCACACUGUGACGGUAUCUUACCAGAAAGGGACGGCUAACUACGUGCCAGCAGCCGCGGUAAUACGUAGGUCCCGAGCGUUGUCCGGAUUUAUUGGGCGUAAAGCGAGCGCAGGCGGUUAGAUAAGUCUGAAGUUAAAGGCUGUGGCUUAACCAUAGUACGCUUUGGAAACUGUUUAACUUGAGUGCAAGAGGGGAGAGUGGAAUUCCAUGUGUAGCGGUGAAAUGCGUAGAUAUAUGGAGGAACACCGGUGGCGAAAGCGGCUCUCUGGCUUGUAACUGACGCUGAGGCUCGAAAGCGUGGGGAGCAAACAGGAUUAGAUACCCCUGGUAGUCCACGCCGUAAACGAUGAGUGCUAGGUGUUAGACCCUUUCCGGGGUUUAGUGCCGCAGCUAACGCAUUAAGCACUCCGCCUGGGGAGUACGACCGCAAGGUUGAAACUCAAAGGAAUUGAC